RNAcentral lists this ribosomal RNA (2900 nucleotides) under Klebsiella pneumoniae. Its description in RNAcentral is "23S ribosomal RNA". It matches the Rfam family "Bacterial large subunit ribosomal RNA". The record is from RNAcentral. Lineage: Bacteria; Pseudomonadati; Pseudomonadota; Gammaproteobacteria; Enterobacterales; Enterobacteriaceae.
UUAAGCGACUAAGCGUACACGGUGGAUGCCCUGGCAGUCAGAGGCGAUGAAGGACGUGCUAAUCUGCGAAAAGCGUCGGUAAGGUGAUAUGAACCGUUAUAACCGGCGAUGUCCGAAUGGGGAAACCCAGUGUGAUUCGUCACACUAUCGUUAACUGAAUACAUAGGUUAACGAGGCGAACCGGGGGAACUGAAACAUCUAAGUACCCCGAGGAAAAGAAAUCAACCGAGAUUCCCCCAGUAGCGGCGAGCGAACGGGGAGCAGCCCAGAGUCUGAAUCAGCUUGUGUGUUAGUGGAACGGUCUGGAAAGUCCGACGGUACAGGGUGAUAGUCCCGUACACCAAAAUGCACAGGUUGUGAACUCGAAGAGUAGGGCGGGACACGUGGUAUCCUGUCUGAAUAUGGGGGGACCAUCCUCCAAGGCUAAAUACUCCUGACUGACCGAUAGUGAACCAGUACCGUGAGGGAAAGGCGAAAAGAACCCCGGCGAGGGGAGUGAAAAAGAACCUGAAACCGUGUACGUACAAGCAGUGGGAGCACCUUCGGGUGUGACUGCGUACCUUUUGUAUAAUGGGUCAGCGACUUAUAUUCUGUAGCAAGGUUAACCGUAUAGGGGAGCCGCAGGGAAACCGAGUCUUAACUGGGCGUUAAGUUGCAGGGUAUAGACCCGAAACCCGGUGAUCUAGCCAUGGGCAGGUUGAAGGUUGGGUAACACUAACUGGAGGACCGAACCGACUAAUGUUGAAAAAUUAGCGGAUGACUUGUGGCUGGGGGUGAAAGGCCAAUCAAACCGGGAGAUAGCUGGUUCUCCCCGAAAGCUAUUUAGGUAGCGCCUCGUGAACUCAUCUUCGGGGGUAGAGCACUGUUUCGGCUAGGGGGUCAUCCCGACUUACCAACCCGAUGCAAACUACGAAUACCGAAGAAUGUUAUCACGGGAGACACACGGCGGGUGCUAACGUCCGUCGUGAAGAGGGAAACAACCCAGACCGCCAGCUAAGGUCCCAAAGUCAUGGUUAAGUGGGAAACGAUGUGGGAAGGCACAGACAGCCAGGAUGUUGGCUUAGAAGCAGCCAUCAUUUAAAGAAAGCGUAAUAGCUCACUGGUCGAGUCGGCCUGCGCGGAAGAUGUAACGGGGCUAAACCAUGCACCGAAGCUGCGGCAGCGACACUAUGUGUUGUUGGGUAGGGGAGCGUUCUGUAAGCCUGCGAAGGUGUGCUGUGAGGCAUGCUGGAGGUAUCAGAAGUGCGAAUGCUGACAUAAGUAACGAUAAAGCGGGUGAAAAGCCCGCUCGCCGGAAGACCAAGGGUUCCUGUCCAACGUUAAUCGGGGCAGGGUGAGUCGACCCCUAAGGCGAGGCCGAAAGGCGUAGUCGAUGGGAAACAGGUUAAUAUUCCUGUACUUGGUGUUACUGCGAAGGGGGGACGGAGAAGGCUAUGUUAGCCGGGCGACGGUUGUCCCGGUUUAAGCAUGUAGGCUGGUUAUCCAGGCAAAUCCGGAUAAUCAAGGCUGAGGUGUGAUGACGAGGCACUACGGUGCUGAAGUAACAAAUGCCCUGCUUCCAGGAAAAGCCUCUAAGCAUCAGGUAACAUCAAAUCGUACCCCAAACCGACACAGGUGGUCAGGUAGAGAAUACCAAGGCGCUUGAGAGAACUCGGGUGAAGGAACUAGGCAAAAUGGUGCCGUAACUUCGGGAGAAGGCACGCUGGUGUGUAGGUGAAGUCCCUGCGGAUGGAGCUGAGACCAGUCGAAGAUACCAGCUGGCUGCAACUGUUUAUUAAAAACACAGCACUGUGCAAACACGAAAGUGGACGUAUACGGUGUGACGCCUGCCCGGUGCCGGAAGGUUAAUUGAUGGGGUUAUCCGUAAGGAGAAGCUCUUGAUCGAAGCCCCGGUAAACGGCGGCCGUAACUAUAACGGUCCUAAGGUAGCGAAAUUCCUUGUCGGGUAAGUUCCGACCUGCACGAAUGGCGUAAUGAUGGCCAGGCUGUCUCCACCCGAGACUCAGUGAAAUUGAACUCGCUGUGAAGAUGCAGUGUACCCGCGGCAAGACGGAAAGACCCCGUGAACCUUUACUAUAGCUUGACACUGAACAUUGAGCCUUGAUGUGUAGGAUAGGUGGGAGGCUUUGAAGCGUGGACGCCAGUCUGCGUGGAGCCAACCUUGAAAUACCACCCUUUAAUGUUUGAUGUUCUAACGUUGGCCCCUUACCGGGGUUGCGGACAGUGUCUGGUGGGUAGUUUGACUGGGGCGGUCUCCUCCCAAAGCGUAACGGAGGAGCACGAAGGUUAGCUAAUCCUGGUCGGACAUCAGGAGGUUAGUGCAAUGGCAUAAGCUAGCUUGACUGCGAGCGUGACGGCGCGAGCAGGUGCGAAAGCAGGUCAUAGUGAUCCGGUGGUUCUGAAUGGAAGGGCCAUCGCUCAACGGAUAAAAGGUACUCCGGGGAUAACAGGCUGAUACCGCCCAAGAGUUCAUAUCGACGGCGGUGUUUGGCACCUCGAUGUCGGCUCAUCACAUCCUGGGGCUGAAGUAGGUCCCAAGGGUAUGGCUGUUCGCCAUUUAAAGUGGUACGCGAGCUGGGUUUAGAACGUCGUGAGACAGUUCGGUCCCUAUCUGCCGUGGGCGCUGGAGAAUUGAGGGGGGCUGCUCCUAGUACGAGAGGACCGGAGUGGACGCAUCACUGGUGUUCGGGUUGUCAUGCCAAUGGCACUGCCCGGUAGCUAAAUGCGGAAGAGAUAAGUGCUGAAAGCAUCUAAGCACGAAACUUGCCCCGAGAUGAGUUCUCCCUGAGACUUUAAGUCUCCUGAAGGAACGUUGAAGACGACGACGUUGAUAGGCCGGGUGUGUAAGCGCAGCGAUGCGUUGAGCUAACCGGUACUAAUGAACCGUGAGGCUUAACCUU